RNAcentral lists this ribosomal RNA (428 nucleotides) under uncultured bacterium. RNAcentral's name for it is "bacterial SSU rRNA". It matches the Rfam family "Bacterial small subunit ribosomal RNA", at positions 355 to 776 of the family's 1533-position model. The record is from RNAcentral.
UGGGGAAUCUUGCGCAAUGGGCGAAAGCCUGACGCAGCGACGCCGCGUGAGCGAUGAAGGCCUUCGGGUUGUAAAGCUCUGUGGGGAGGGAAGAAUAAGGGUUGGCUAAUAUCCAGCUCGAUGACGGUACCUCCUUAGCAAGCACCGGCUAACUCUGUGCCAGCAGCCGCGGUAAUACAGAGGGUGCAAACGUUGUUCGGAAUUACUGGGCGUAAAGCGCGUGCAGGCGGCCUUGCAAGUCGGACGUGAAAUCCCACGGCUCAACCGUGGAAGUGCAUUCGAAACUGCGAGGCUGGAGUCCUGGAGAGGAAAGUGGAAUACUCGGUGUAGAGGUGAAAUUCGUAGAUAUCGAGUGGAACACCGGUGGCGAAGGCGGCUUUCUGGACAGGUACUGACGCUGAGACGCGAAAGCGUGGGGAGCAAACAGG